CCUCAUUUCUCUGUGGUCAGAAGUUUUCUCUGUUGUCCAACAUAGUUGUCUUUGAUACAGAUCUUGUUCCCACCUCAGUGGCCAAAGAGAGAUGCAAUCAGUAACAACCUUUUAUGUACCAGUUAAAUGAGGGACCCUACAACAUAAAUGCUUCUGCUAUGGUUAUGAGGAACCAGAAUUCUGGAGGGUUUUCUCUGCUACAUAUUUCUCAUCUCGCCUCGGACAAGUCUGUUGGUCUUCGUAUGUUGCUGCCUCAAAGGGAUGCAAUGAGGCUUCCUGGAAAAGAGAACUUUGAAAACAUGAGCAGAAGAUGUCUGGUAAAAGCUGUAACAGGCUCUGACUGUCCAUACUAUGACAGCCAAUGAAUAUCACCUGCUGAUGAUUUACAGAUUCCUGGGAGAUGUGGUGUUGAGUCUCAAAGAGCUGGAACAAGAACGACUCAGCCAGUACGCUUCUCGGGAAACAGUGUAAUGUGUCCACCCACUUUGUGCUCUCCUAAUUUAGGACAUGUGUAGUGUGCAAUGAUGAACUGGCUAAGAGCUUAUGUUUCUGUAAAUCUUAUUCCACACCUUACAGAACAGCCUUGAUUGACCCCUUCUUCCACAAAAGUUCAGCCCAGGGUUUUCCAGCCCUCUUCUGGGGAGUGAGACAGAUGAUACUGGGCUGUUCACAAACAUACUUAGUUAGAGAGGAAAAUGCAAUGUUAUGUUGUUUUUGUUUAAUUGGGCAGCCUUUUCACGUUCUGUGAGCCACUUUUGCUUCCUUUCAGACUAUGACCAGUAAUUGUUUUAUCUCUUUUAAAAUGCAGUAAUUUAAUUAAGAAACCAAUCAGCAAUGUUGAAAUGAUCUUUGAACUAUUCCUCAUCGCUGAAGGAAAUUUUUGAGUGGGUUAUACAAGGAAGACUCUAUUAUGUAAACAGCUUUCUACUAAAAGGAUUCAACAUCUGAAAAAAAUGCAAGGGAAGAUGGUGUUGAGCUGGAAGAGUCUGAUGGAGCUUUGGAUAUUUUAACAUCCCCAGCCACAGGAGAUAAAGUUUCACUUUCUAUGUGCAGGUAUUUUUUUGUUCUUAUGAGUCACUGCAGCAUACACCUUACUGUAUGUAGUAUGUGCUGCAGCAUCCAGGAUGCAAACUCCUCUGUGCUUAAAAUUGUUUGCUCAUUGACACUUUGUAGAAGGGUAAGAGCUAACUCUCUGUUUUGAUUCUAAAUUAUAAACAAGAGAGAACUUUCUGGACAUUCUUCUGAAUGCAGAAUUGAAUGAGCAGGGCAUUGGUUGUAAAGAGAAUAAUAAUGACAAAGUCUAUAUCAUUCACUGGUUCGCUAAGAGGGAUAAAAUGGCAAUGUAUCAACAAUUUCUCACUCUUUGUUCCCUUUGCUUCCAGUUUUCCACCUCCUCCACUGCUCCUCUGGGCAUAACUGAAUACUA
Molecule: long non-coding RNA, 1426 nt
Organism: Pogoniulus pusillus (Red-fronted tinkerbird)
Lineage: Eukaryota; Metazoa; Chordata; Aves; Piciformes; Lybiidae
Exons: 3
Source: RefSeq, a predicted model, not a curated record